Molecule: long non-coding RNA, 510 nt
Organism: Dermacentor silvarum
Lineage: Eukaryota; Metazoa; Arthropoda; Arachnida; Ixodida; Ixodidae
Exons: 4
Source: RefSeq, a predicted model, not a curated record
UAAUUCGUAGAAAUGAGAAAUAUGUGCUUCACAUAACUGGUAGUGAAGGUCUAUAGGCUGCUGUCCUUGACGUUUCUUACGGCGAAAUCAAGAUGACCAAAAAGCUUCUUGCAGCCUUUCUUUUCGCUGCCUCUUCAAUAGGUUUGGAGUGUGCAUUUUUCACAAAACGAAAAAACGAUUGGAAUAUAAGAAAGUUCGUUAAUACGUCAGAACACAUUUGGACAUACAGUACGAGUGACUGCAGACAAAUUGAGUGCAAAAUGGACGCAAAGGUAUCAGCGACCAAGACAUCGCUCGUCUUUAAUAGGUCGUACUACAUAGGGACAGAAAGGAUUCAUGAUGUCUUAGAAGGACAGUUUUUUGACAAGCAAAAGGACCGCAUGACUAUUCGUCGUGGAGGUGGCAGUUUCACGGAGUCAGAGUAUAUGCUUUAUUACCAUAAGAAUGACGGCUGCGCUGUUUUUAGAGUGAAGACGCAAAACCACGGUGCGUUUCUAUGAUCUUGAAAGC